GCCCACCAUCUACUCAGUCCAAGCUUGUUAAUCAACCACCUGCGUAUACCACACCCAGCAAAGCCCCCUGAGUGACUCACAGUCACAACCAGCGUACUAAUCUUUCCUCUGUGUCCUUCCAGGUUCUUCUGAGGACAACCUGAGUUUAGUAUGCCCACCACCAAAUGAAGAUGAUGAUGGUAAUCAUGAUGUUGAUGAUGCCCAGAUUUCACCAUCACAUGUCCAGGCUUGGCCUGAGGAUGGCCUGUUCUUACGAUGUGCGCCACGAUGCAAAGAUGAAGAUGAUGAUGAUGAUGAUGAUGAUGAUGAUGAUGAUGCCUAUGUAAGACCCCCCUAUUUUAUCUUCUACAGCAAUGUUGUUUUCCUGAUCCCUUUACUACUCAAUUUUGAUAUGAAAAUCUGGCAGUGCACAUUAUGUACACUGUACACUAUUCUCUUUGUGGGGCUGGAGUUCAGUAGAAGUGUCUUCCCAACUGAUACACGUUACAGUAGGGUGC
RNAcentral lists this long non-coding RNA (497 nucleotides) under Cercocebus atys (sooty mangabey). Its description in RNAcentral is "lncRNA (ENSCATG00000045742.1)". Lineage: Eukaryota; Metazoa; Chordata; Mammalia; Primates; Cercopithecidae. The record is from RNAcentral.